Molecule: long non-coding RNA, 19661 nt
Filed under: Solanum tuberosum (potato)
Lineage: Eukaryota; Viridiplantae; Streptophyta; Magnoliopsida; Solanales; Solanaceae
Description: long non-coding RNA (STUB_LNC007251)
Source: RNAcentral
GAGGAACUACUACAAAUUAAUACCAAAAGACGCCCAACUAUACGUACUAAUAUGCACACAUACUCUCAUUUCCCUCACCAAUGAAACCAGAAACAAUACCUUACAUAUUACAACACAUUCACACGCAAGAAACAAAAAUAAUAUCCUUACAUUUUAAUCUUUUUUUCACUCACCAAAGGCCACCUUACACAUUGGAGGGAAAAGAUUGAAUUCGAGGUUUGCUUUCAUGGUUUGGAGUUCGCGGUUCCUUAUUAGGACUAUUUUCUUUUCGGUGAAUUGAUUUUCGCAAGAGGUACAAUUUAAUUUUUAUUGUAAUUUGAUUUUCAAGAUUAUAUAAUACUUGAUUACAAUGUUAUGAAAUUGCUCAAAUUUUAUAUGUGUUGAACUUUGACGCUAUGAUAUUGAAAUAUUUCCUCUUUAUUUUAUUCUAUGUUAUCUUCCAUUUUGUACCAUAUGCUUUUUUUUUGGUAGGAAAGGAUAUAUAUAUAUAUUAAGCUUAAGUAGCGGAUACAGUCAGGAUAUUAUAAUUCCCUAAUUUAGCCAGGUUAAUACAAGUUGCUAAGGACACUUUUUUAGUACUAAUGUGUCCUGCUACAUCUGCUGCUAGGCUAGAGAUUACCCCAGUAAGGGGACUACAAAACAUUACAAAGUUACUAUUAGUACUAGUAGUUCUUGCUUCAUUAGCCAAGUGAUGUUCCACCUUGUUACCAUCUCUGAAGUUAUGGUUGAUAGGGGGAUUCUGCAGUUUCUUCAGCCAGUAUCUGCAGGAGGAGAGGAGAGAGUCAUACAGUGAGUUUGAAUAAUCAGUUAGAAGAGUAAUUACCUCAGUAGAGUCAGUUUCGAUUGCCAGUGGAACAAAUUGUGGUGAUAGGCUAACUCAAUGCCUCUAAGCAGUGCCAAUAGUUCCAUUGAAGUGCCAUUGAAACCUUGAUGUUGUUGGUAGAAUCCCAUCUUCCAAUUACCAUAUUCAUCACGGAAGACACCUCCUAAACCACCUACCAGUGAUGGAGCAGAAAAGAAGCCAUCGAAAUUAAGCUUAUAGAGGCCGUGGGGAGGGGGUUUCCAGCGAGCAUGAAUAGUGAUCUUAUCUGAAGGGGUAGAAGAGAGGAAUUUGCCGGUAAAAGCAUAUUCUAAGGUGCGAGCAAUAACCGUGGGGAUAGAGAUUGGGCUGUUAGAGUUAUGAAAAAUAUUAUUAUUACGAUUUAGCCAGAUAUGCCAAAUGGCAAAAGGGAAAUAGAUUUCCCAACUGAGAAGCGGAUCGGCAAAGGCAUGGUUGAGGUUUUUCAAAGUCAGCAGCCAGUUGACAAUACUGUGAUCGUUAACAAUUGGGGAAAUGGGGAUAUUCAGCUGGUUCCACAAGUUUUGAGCAAUAGUCAACGAAAAUAUGCUGGGAGGUUUCAGGAUUAGCAUUACAGAUUUCACACAUGUUCGUGGGAAGGAUUUGAAGUUUGCGAAGGUAGUAACCUGAUGGGAUUUGGUCAUGAUAGCACAUCCAAAAGAAGAACUUGAUCUUAGGAAGAGUAUUGAGUUGCCAAAUCCAUUAAAAGUCCUUAAGAUGGUUGGAAGGGUUGGGAGGAUUUAUAAUUUGGUAGACUGAGGCGAUUGAGAAAUUACCGGUACUAGUGAGAGACCAGAUGGGAGUGUCUCGAGAAAGAGUAGGAAAAGUCGGGAUAGGGUGGAUGGCUUGAAGGAUAACUAGGGAAAUUCGAAUGAACAGUUGUCGAGGUUCCACUGGUUAUUAGAUCGAAGAUCAACUACUACUAUCAAUUAAAGUACCUUUUAUAUCCAACUAAAAUUAAAUUAAAUGCAUGAAAAUAGUAUUCUAAUAGUUUAUUUGGUCAAAUUUACAUAAAGUAAAAAAUGUUUACUCCCUCUGUCCCAAUAUUUAUGUGACACAUUUCGCUUUUUGAGAGUCAAACAGUUCAAGUUUGACCGAGAAUUUGCUCGUGAAAUCUUCAAUUUUUUAAAAAUGAAAUUCAUAUAUUUGUAAACUACAUAAAAAGUAUUAUAAGUCACAAUAAUUGAUAAUUCAAAAUAUUGAAAAGAUAUAUGAAAAAUUUACGAUCAAAGAUAAACUUGUUUGAAUCUCGAAAUCUGAAAUGUGUCACAUAAAUUGGGACAGAGGGAGUAUUUUUUUUCAAGGCCCCCAGUGGGAGGCUCGCACGACGGGCUAUUAGCUCAGUGCUAGAGCGCACCCCUGAUAAUUGCGUCGUUGUGCCUGGGCUGUGAGGGCUCUCAGCCACAUGGAUAGUUCAAUGUGCUCAUCGGCGCCUGACCCUGAGAUGUGGAUCAUCCAAGGCACAUUAGCAUGACGUACUCAUCAUGUUCGAACCGGGGUUUGAAACCAAACUCCUCCUUAGGAGGAUAGAUGGGGCGAUUCGGAUGAGAUCCAAUGUAGAUCGACGAUUCUCAACAACAUCUGUAAAAUCUCGAGGCUUACUAGACGGAAUUCGAUCAAAAAUGAAAACUUUGGAUAUUUUUCUAAGAAGGAGAUGAGCUACCUAUAGAUUUUUAUGUAAGUGCACAAAUUAAGAGAAAGCUGGCAUCCAAUCAAGAAAAAAAAGAGUUACACAUUUUUAUUUUUUUUAUUUUUAUUUUUAUUUUUAAUGUUUUUUGAGAUAACUUAUAAGUAUAUUAAAAGUGUAAAUGCAUCCAUAUCAAAUUUGAAUAUGAAAUAACUUUCUAUUAGUUUAAAAUUUUAAACUUUUAUUAUUUAAAUAGUGUUUUGAAUAUAAAUAGUAAAAAAGUAAUUUAAUCACUAAUAAAACGCUUGAGCUAUCUAGUAAUAAGUAAAUAUUAAGAUAUAUAACUCAUUUUAAAAGCCUGUUUCGAUUAAGAAUGUGGUUACACAUCUUUUUCUUGAGACAUUAAAAUAAACUUAAGGAUACAGUGACGCACCUUGUUUAAUAAUAUAAUUAACUGUCAUCAAUUUAAAGUAAAGACUUAUAGAUAAAAUUAUUAGGUGCAACAUAAGAAGACAAUUAUGUCUCUAAAUGUCAAGACCAAGAAUGCGAUUACGCAUUUAGGUUAAGACUGUAACAUCUCACUAUUUGAAAGAACUAGAAAGAGUUAGAAUUGGAAAGAGUCAUUUUAGGAAAGAAGGAAAAAUCUAGAAAAUUGGUUAAGUUAGGUUAAGUUUGAGUUUUUGAUCAACUUCAAACGUGCAUAACUCAUAGCUCAGGAUGAGUUGAGUGUGCUUCCAGAUACCGUAGGAAAGAUCUUGGAAUUAUUUUUCUAACGUCGCCGAGUUUGCACGAUUCCGAGUUUGUAUGUAUGAGAUAUGGCCAUUUGAAGUUGGGUUGUUCAAACACGUCAAGAGUGAAGAAUCUUCGACACCCACGUCCAAUUUUUUGGAGUUGAAACCCUUUGAAUCUUCAAGGUUUUAGAACAAAGUCUCCAAAACCCUCUAAAACUUGAAAAUGAAAAUAUUCUAAGUCUCAAUAAUAAUUGUCUAUGACUUGAUACUAAGCUAACAAUUUAAACAAGUAUUUAUAGUGUUUGAAAAUUUUGCUGCGGAGGAUCACUCGGCGCAGUUAGUCGGAAUCGCCGAUCCGCUGUUUGGUCAAUUUCAUCGCCUUCUUGCUUUAGCCUUCAGCCUCUUCGCGCUUUGAGUCGUUAGGCGAUAUGGUAUUGCUUCGCGGAACUACUUGGCCACACGCCGACUGCUCCAUUUCAUCGCCAACUUGAUCUUUCCCUUCAGGGCUCAGCAUACUGGAACAAAAGGCAAUCUCCAGGCCGAUUGGCGACUCGCCAACUGGUCUCGCCGAUCUUCAGGCCUCCAUUUCUUCGUUCUUUUCAGCCGCUUUGUUCCUUCUUGCUAAGUACUGUCCAUGAUUUGCCUCAAACUCCAAAUACCUGAAACUUAAGGGUUUUCAUCAGAUAUUGAGACAAAAUAUGCAUUUGAGGACACUAAUUCUAUCAAAAUAUAGCCUUAAAUGAGUCCAAUUUGUGGACUCAUCAAGAACCCAUUAGCGUGCAUCAGUAAAAAAAAAAAAAGUUAUACAAAAAGUACCGAGAGGAAAAAAAAUCAAAAGGGCACAUAAUAUAUGUGGGUGAUCCUUCCUCCAUGAUUUGCCCUCCAUAGCAAGAUGACCACGUACGAUACAAUCAGAUAUGUUUGCGAUUUACCCCAUUUUUGCUCUUUUUUAAAAUUUUUGAAUGAUGAAUUUUCAAAGAGGAAGCAAAAAGUGAAAGAUUUAUUCCUAAAAAACUCCAAUUAUAGUAUGUAAUCUGAGUUGGAUUUAGUAUUGCAAUAUUUAUUCUCCAUCAAUUUAUGUCAAACUUAUUUGAUUUAUUUUUGUUACACGAUUUUAUAAAACAUUAAAUUGACUAUUAAUUCACUGUCAAUAUAUAUCAAAUUAAUUCAAUUUAUUAUUUACUUGUUUUAAAUGAGUAAAUAUAUAAAUUAAUUAAGGAAUAAUUUUAUAAAUAUUCCUCCAACUUUAGCUUUAUUAUAUAACUAAUUUUGAUACACGUGCCUUGCACGUGAAUGUAAAACCAUGUAGCACACUAUUUUAAAAUAAUAAUGUCAAUAUUAUUUAACUAAAACUUUAAACAAAAAAUUACAUAUGGAAUAAUAAAGUAUAACUUUAUAUGAAUAACGAAUGUAAACUUUCUUAUGAUUAGUCACUGUGUACAUACUUAAAGUUCUUAAAUCAAUAUUCAAUAACAUUUAUAUUUCUGAGGAUACUCUAAGCUAAAAACUAGAGUCCUAUUAAUUAAAAUGUACUUCUAACUACAAAUCAGAGCCCUAUAAAUCAAUAGAUACAUUUACAUAUUCAGGUUAACCCCUUUUAAUUUCUUUUUAUAAGGUAAUGUAUGUUAUAUUGAUUGCCAAGCUGAAACUUUUUACAAAAUAGAAUGAAGUUUCAUACUUUUUGUCCAGAGAAAAUGUUUUCCACAUAUGGACGAAAUUAAUCUUAACCCAGAAUCUUUAAAGGAAACAUGCAAUCUAUUAGACAUAACUUAGAUCUCGUUAAAUAUUCUUCAUACUCCAGUACCAAAUUCUUUAUAAUUUUAACUACUUCUCUACUUUAAUGAAUUAUUCAGUGACCUAAAUCAAAAUAUAAAACUAAAGGAGUAUGAAAAUCCUAGCAAUAAUAAGAAAAUUCCGCAAGUCACAACCAAUAUAAUUGAAUACUUUCUAUAACUAUUGCGAGAUUAUCAAAAUUGAUAUGUCUAAGUAUUAAUUAGAUUGUACAGUGUUUUCUUCACGGUUUACAUAACAUAGAAUUGAUAAGCAUCCUCAUAAACCUAUUAAAUAGGAGUAAUUAUAGAACAAUACUAGCCCAAAAAUUCCAAUCACACAUGAGUAAUAUUCACCGAACAGUGAACAUAUACAUGUUUUACACUCUUUAAUCAAUGAUGAGAAUCUAUCAUGUCACGAACCAAAGUACACUCUAUGUGACAUGGCGUAAAACAAUGUAAGCACAUGUAUGUAUUAGUAUAUGAAAUGUACAAAGUAUAAGUGGAAUGCAAUAAAACAUGAAUCAUGAUCAUAAGGGGCAUAAUCGAAAACAUGAUAUGCAUGACAAAGCUAAACAAAGAAAAAUCAUUUAAGAAGAAUCGUAAAUCAUGAAUAUGGUCAGUGCAUCUUAAAUUAUAAGGAAUACUUCAUAAAAUAGUUUGAAGGCAACUUAGUUUUUUUGCGGGUUGUUAGCUUUAAUUGACAAUAGAUCAUGCGAGCUAUAACAUGGAAUUCAAUGUAACUCCCACAUAGAGAAGGGAGAGUCUACUUGCCAAGGUAGAACUCUGUAUUAUAUCAUAUGAUACAUUUGGAUCCACUAGCUACGCUAUUUACGACAAACCAAAGGGGGCACGUAGUUUGAAACCAGAGGUUGUUACUAGAGACUAUCCUAUUUGAGCCUCCACCUCAAAGUAUUCUCAGAGGUAAGUCAUAUCCUAUAGGAAUAGUCAUAUUCACAUACAUAUUAUAAUACAUCGAAAAUUACAAUUAAGUUACUAAUCUAAGUUAAAAACAUCAUUGAGUAUCUCAUUAAAUCUUGAAUCAAGUCUAAGUUAGAAAACCUUUUACCAAGCCAUGAUUCCUCAAUAUUUGAGAAAAUCCUUUCCAAUUUCAUUGAUGCUCAUAUUAAAACAAUCUAUAUCAUAAAUCAUUACUUUUCAUAAAUCACCCAUAAGUUCAAGAAAAAAAAUCAUUCAUAGCAUCAUAAAUUUUCUUCAAAUUCAUACAAAUUAGGAUUCCCGGUAAAAAUCAUGAUCAAUGCAUGAGUUCAUAUGGAAUUUAUUGGAAAAUAAGUAAUUGAAUCUAAAUAACCAUAAUAUGAUCAAAGUCAAACAAUUAUAUCCAUACAAAUAGUAUUCAUGAGGAAUUGAAUGGAAACCUAACAAAUUUGACUGAAAUUGAAUUGGAGAAAUAAAGAAUCUUUGGGGACUUAAUGGGUGAAUGGAACCCAUUGAUGAACUCCUCACAUACCUUAUUCUUGAAGCCCUAAGCAAUUUAUGUAGAAAGGAUACUUGAACUUGAAGAACCCUAUAUUCUUCUUCCUUGAACUAGAGAGAGGAUUUUGAAGAAAACCUUGAAGAGGAUUUGGAGAUUUGAUUGGAUUAGAGAGUUGGGGAACUUUCAAAGGGUGAAGGGUAGUUAUAGGACUUAGAAUAAGGGGUAGUUAUGUUGAGGAACUUUCAAGGGGUGAAGGGUAGUUAUAGGACUUAUAAUUUGAGGUAAAACGACGUAGCAUAGACAUUAAAUGCAUAGGAAAAGACCCAAAUUCUCUUUCAGAAUAACUGCCAGGCAUCCCAACGGUUGUGACAUAUAGUCUGUAUUGGAAUUUCUACGACCCAUCCGCGUGAACCGUAGAACUAAAUUAAGAAACUCAAAUAUUUAAUCAUUUCCCAUGUGACCAUUCUAUGGUCCGUCAAACUUUCUACGGUUCGUAGACCUCAUCCGUAGAACCCAACUUUCACACCAAAAUUUUACCAAGUCUGGAACACUUUUAUGGAACUUUUCUAUGGUCUGUAGAACCAAAUACGACCCUUCAUUUCCUUUCAUAUGUCUAAGGUCCUAAAUCAAAUCUCUAAAUCAAUCCUAUGAGUCCCAUCUAUGGCACAUCAAAAAUCCAACGACCCGUCCUAUCAAGUCGUACGUCAAACCUAAAAAACUUAAUUUUCCAAAACCCCACCUCCAGGUAUAUGAAUUCCUUCCUAAGGGCCGAAGACUUCCUAAGGUCCAUAGGUUAUACUCGUAGAACCCGCUUAAGUGAAAUUUCAACAUUUUUCCUUUCCUUUUCGACUUUUCAACUUCCGAGGUGUUACAAUAUCUCUCCCUUGGGAACAUCAUGAUUGAAUGGGACUCGAGCUAGCAUGAUUAAAGUAAAGGAGAAACUAACAACCUAAAUGUCACGAUCCAAAAUAUACUCUAGGUGUAACAUGGUGUAUAGAACCCUGAAAUGCCCCAUACAAGCCACUUAGCAUACAUCAUACAAGAUAAUAGAAAUAAAGAUUUCAACAGUAGCAAUCUUAUAUCAUAAAAGAGUUUGACAAAGAAGAAGUCUAUCAUAGUCUCAACAAGCCAUCUAAACAUCAAAAUGAGUGGUUGAGAAGUAACCCAUACACCGCAUAUAUCAUCCGAAAACUAGAAAGACAUAAAGCAAGUAAAUAUGUCUCAUUCCUAGAAACAUGAGGACUAUGGGGGAUUCUACUUGCCAAUGUAGUAUCUAUACACAUCAUCUUUUGCUAAAGUGGAUUAACUAGCUAGGUCAUUUAAGACAAUCCUACAGGGGUACGUAGUUAGGUACUACAUGUUGCUACUAGAGACUAUCCUAUUUGAGCAUCCACCUAAAAUCCUCUCAAUGCUAAGUCAAAAUCCUAACUGAAUUGAUAGAAGUCAAAUAUCAUUAUAACAUAGGAAGGGAAAUGAUCAAUAACAAUCCACAUCUUUCAAAUCAAAACAUAGAAUAGCUCUUUAAAAAAAUCCAUUCAUAGGUGAGAAAAUCCUUCACCAAUGUGAAUCCAUAUGUGAGAAAUAACUUUCACAAUCAUGAUCAUAUUCGUAUAUGAGAAAAUCUUUCACAAAAAAUUUGAUACUUUAAUCUAAAAGCACCCUAUCAUCAUCAACAUAAUUUUUAUAAGAUAUGCAUCAUCCUUCAAAAUUCAUAGUUCAUAGUUUCAUGAGUUCUUCUCAAGUUCAUAGUUAAAAAUCAUUUAUCACGCAUGGGUUCAUAUGAUUUCAACUCAAUAUCAUGUAAAAACACUAAAUCAUGUUAUGGAAGAUUGAAAAAGAUCUAUGGAAUCAUAAUUUAAUAGAACCCAUGGAGCAAUAAGAAGAACCCUAAUUUGAUCAAUUGAAAUUGGAUUGAGAAAUCGAAAACCUUGGGGACACCAAGGAGGAAUGGACUCCAUGGGUGAAUACCCCAUACCUUGCUACUCAAAGCCCAAUAUAAAUGGUGAAUUGAAGACCUUUGAGUUAACCCUAGAUUCUUCUUUUUCCUUAGGCUGAGAGGGAAUUUUUAAGAAUUAAUUUGGUUGGGUUUUUGGGAAAUUAGGAGAAUGGGUUUAUAGUGGGUGGAUUAGGACUUCAAGUCUUUUUCAUAGAGAUUAGGAUAGAGAUCAAGACAACAUACAUAGGCUUAAAAAAUUUAGGAAAAGAACCAAAAAACCCUUAAAAAUAACUACCCAACCCUUCUACCAUUUGAGCCACUUUCUACGGAUCGUCCUCGUCAGUCGUAAAAAGAUCAGAAGCCUUAAUUUUUGCCAAGUUUUGACAAAAACCAUUUUCGUAAGACAUUCUAUGGUCCGUAGACCCCAACCAUAGAAAUCAAUUUUGACCUUGAAAAUUUCACCAAGUAUGAGAGCUUCCUACGAGAUUUUUCACUUGUAUAAAAGUUCAGAAAUGAGAUUUUUCAAAAAUUAUUUUCUCCCUUUCUAUGAGACUGGUCUACGACCCGUAGAAAGUUGUAUGAACCGUAGACUUGUCUCGUAGACAUGAACUAGUAGAUAAUAUUCAUGCAACCUUUUCCCUUUUCAAAAUUUUAGGUGUUACAAUAUCUCCCCAUUGGGAACGUUCGUCCUUGAAUGGAACUCAAGGCAAUAUAAAGAGCAUUAGGGAAGAGAUUUAACAACCCCACAUGAAUGCAAUCACACAAAUAUACAUAAUCAAAGAGAAAAUCGACUCCAAGCUAACAUAUAUCUUAAAUAUCUUUCCAUAAAACAUGCAUGCAUGCAUAAGGAAACAUGAGAAUGACUAGGACACGUGAAUCUGCAAGAACGAACCAUAAGGGGCUAAAUACCUCAAGCUAGAGUAGGAUUAGAGGGAAAGAGAUGCAGCUAUCGGGACAUCAUAUCAGCCUGAGCCUCCCAAGUGGCACCUUAAACCAUUUGAUUGCUCCACAAAACCUUUAUGGAUGCAACUUCCUUGUUCCUCAACUGUCUAACUUGUCGGUCCAAGAUCUAAAUCGGAACAUCUUCAAAAGAAAAGCUUUCUUUUAUACCAAGGUUCUCUAAUGGUACGAUAGAUGUCAGAUCUCUAAUACACUUCUUCAUUAAGAAAACAUGGAACACCGGAUGCACCGAUAAUAAUUUGGAGGGCAAGUCUAAUUCAUAAGCCACCUUGCCUAUCUGCCUUAACAUUUGAUAAAGACGAACAUAUUAGGGACUAAGCAUCCCUUUGUUAUCAAGCCUCAUUACACCCUUCAUAGGUGAAAUUUUCAAGUAACCCCAAUCAUUAGUUUCAAAUUCAAGAUCUCUUUUUCCAACGUCGGCAUAGGAAUUUUGUCGACUUCAAGACGUUUUCAACUUUUCUUUAAUAAGCCAAACAUUCUAUGUAGCCUCAUGUACCGACUCGGGACCUGUCACAGAAACUUGAUCAACUACAAACCAAUCUAUGGGGGAACUUUAUCUCCUACCAUAAAUACCUUCAAAUGGAGCAAAACCAAUACUUGAUGAUAACUAUUAUUAUAAGCAAACUCAGUUAAAGGAAAAUAAUCAUCCCAAUUACGCUUGUAAUCAAUCACACAAUAUUUCAAUAUAUGUUCAAAUGAUUAGACAGUGCACUUCGCCUUUCCAUCGGUUUGAGGAUGAAAUCCCGUACUAAACUUGACAUAGACACCAAAACUUUUUUGGAAAGACUUCCAAAAUUGAGAAGUGAAUUGGGAACCAUGAUCAGAGAUAAUCGAUAGAGGUACCCCAUGCAACCUAACCAUUUCACUUAGAUACAACUUAGAUAAUCUUCCACCGAAUAUGAAAAUGAGGCGACUUGGUCAUACAAUCUACAGUAACCCUAAUCAAGUUAUGUUGCUACUCGGUGCCAGGUAAACCAACAAUAAAGUCCAUAUUAAAAUCGUACACUUACAAGUAGGAAUACUAAUAUCUUCGGAAAAACCUCCCAACUUUUGAUGCUAAAUUUUCAUUUGUUGACAAUUAGGAUACUUAGCCUCAAAUUCUGCAAUAUCCUUCUUCACCCCUUUCCACCAAUAGACCUCCCGCAUGUCACGGUACAUCUUGAUGGCUCCCGGGUGAAUGGAAUAUUGACAACUAUGGGCUUCCGAUAAAAUUUGCUCCCUUAAGUCAUCAACAUUCGGAACACACUAACGACCGUGAUAUUGAAACAUACCAUCUUCCCAUUGGGAGAAAUCCUCAAAGCACAUUUUAAGCAUUGCUUUUUUCAAUUCAACCAAAUUUGGGUCUAGACUUUGCUUAACUUUUACAUACGAUACAAAAGGCGAUUACGAACAAUUAUGAACAACUACUCACCAUCAUUAGAAUCAACCAAGCAAACACCCAAUUAGGACAAUCUAUACACAUCACAAACCAACUCCUUAUUAUGUUCCUCCAUAUGUGCAACACUACCAUUGAUAGUUGGCUAAGAGCAUCUGCCACUACAUGUGCCUUACCUGGGUGAUAGAGGACACUUAUGUCAUAAUCUUUUAGCAACUCAAGCCACCUCCUUUCGAAAAGAUUUGGAUCCUUUUUCUUAAAUAGAUAUUGCAAACUUUUGUGGUCGGUAAAUACAUCAACAUGGACAACAUACAAAUAAUGCCUCGAUAUAUUUAACGCAAAAAACAACCACCACUAAUUCAAAAUCAUGGGUAGGAUAGUUCUUUUCGUGAAUCUUAAGUUGCCUUGAAGCAUAAACAAUAACUUUCCCAUAUUGCAUAAGGACACACCCUAAUACAAUCCUUGAAGCAUCCUAAUAAACAAUGGACCCAUCAGUGCCUUUCGGUAAAGUAAACACAAGAGCGAAGGUAAGACUAUAUUUAACCUCUUGAAAAAUCUCUUCACAUGCUUCUGACAUAAAAACUUACCCUUCUUUAGGGUUAAUGCGGUCAAUGGAGAGGAAAUUGAAGAAAAUUCUUCCAUAAACCUUCUAUAAUAACCUGCCAAACCCAAUAAACUUCAAAUGUAUGAAGGAGAUAGAGAUAUAGGCCAAUUCAUUAUCGCCUCUGUCUAUUUAGGAUAAACCUCAAUUCCCUUAUUAUAAACAAUUUGACCAAGAAAAACCUCACAUCUCAACCGAAACUCACAUUCAUUAAGCUUAGAACAUAACUCAUGAUCCUUAAGAAUUUACAACACAAUCCUCAAAUUAUCAGCCUGCUCAUCCUCACUCCGAGAGUAAAUCAAGAUAUCAUCGAUAAACACUAUCAAAAACAUAUCAAGACAUUGUCUAAAUACUCUAUUCAUCAAAUCCAUGAAUGCGGCCAGAGCAUUAGCCAAACUGAAUGACAUUACUAAAUAAUCAUAAUCAUAAUACCGCAUUCGAAAAGCCAUCUUUAGAAUCUCACUCUCUUUCACCCUCAAUUGGUGAUAACCUGACCGGAAGUGACACUUAGAGAGAUAACUUGCUUCUUGGAGUUGAUCAAACAAAUCAUCAAUCCUCGAAAGAUGAUAAUUAUUCUUGAGGUUAACCUUGUUCAAUUACUGGUAAUCAAUACCCAUUCGAAGGGAACUAUCCUUCUUACAAACAAAUAAUACUAGAUCAACCCGUGGAGAGAUACACAGUCGUAUAAAACCCUUAACCAACAAAUCUCUCAAUUGCUCAUUUAAUUCCUUAAGUCCUGCUAGAGCCAUAUUGUAAGGAGGAAUAGAGAUAGGUUGCAUAUUUGGAAGAAGGUCAAUAUCAAAGUUAAUUUCCCUUUCGGGAGGAACCCUGGGUAGAUCAUCGAGAAACACUUCUGAAAACUCAUUUACAACAGGGACUGACUCAAGAAUAGGGGUUUCUGAAUCUAUAUUCUUAACUCGAACAAGAUACAAUAAGAUAUCAUUUUCCUAGCUUUAAGUCAAGAAACAAAUUGACACUUAGGCAUAUAAUUUCCUCCUUUUUACUUUAGGAUGGGCUCAUUAGGAAUCUUAAAAUUGACCACUCGGUUCUACAAUUAACAGAAGCAUAUAAACAAUGGAGCCAAUUCAUACCACAAAUAACAUCGAAAUCCAACAUAUCAAUUUCUACAAGAUCAACAUGAGUGACUCUAUGGGAUAAAGAGAUGGGGCAAUUUUUAUAGACUCUGUUAAGCACAAUAGAUUCACCAAUAACAUUGGAGAACAAAAAAAUAUCUAGCAACAUAUCCAUAGAUACAUCAAAUCUGAUAGUCACAUAUGGCGCCACAAAAGACAAAGUAGCAUCGGGAUCAAGUAAAGAAUAAACAUCAUGAUUAAAGACUUUCAACAUAUUGGUAACAACAUUAGGAGAACCCUCUUGAUCAUGCUGAGUUUGAAGUGCAUAGAAUUGGUUUUACUUUGGAACACUUGAACCCGAACCACUAGGCGGAGAUUACCUACCAUCUUUUCCCUUGUCAAUUGUAGAUAGGCAAUCUCUCAAGCGGUGACUAAUUUUACCAAAACCAAAAGAAAUAGUCUUAGGGUUAGACAUCUUAUAUUUUUUGAACUUAGGAGUUGGAGAAUUUGAGGAACAUUGAACAGAAAACCAUUGCCAGAACCUAGAACGACCAUGUCCAUCGGACCUUGAAUGUAAAAAGUCACCAUCACCGGUCUUUGACCUCUUUGCCUCCCUAGAACUUUCCUUAAGCUUCUCUUCUUCGAAUUUUUUGAGAAUAUGUCAUCAAACAGGAAAUAUCCAUUUCCUUAAUGAACAUAACGAUACGACAUUUUUUAACCACCAUUUCCGACACACCCAAAACAAACUUACUCAUCCUUGCCCUAGAGUUGACAACUAUAGUUGUAGCAUACCUAGCCAAUUUAGUGAACUUCAACACAUACUCCUUCACACUCAUAUUUCCUUGAAGAAGGUUGAUGAAUUCAAGUACCUUUGCCUCCCUCAUCUCAAGGGAAAAGUACCUAUCAAGGAACGCAUCCUUAAACUUUUCCCAAUCAAGAGGAUGCAUGAACCGCUUUCUAUUCCUUCCAAUGGUUGAACCAAACUUGAGCAACAACCUUAAGUUCAUUAGAGGCAAAUUCCACUUCUCAACUAUAGUCACUCCAAUAAUUCCCACUAUCUUGUAAACCUCAUCAAUGAACUCUUGGGUAUCCUCAUGAACCUUGGAACAAUGGAAUUCUAGAGGAUUAAUCCUAGUAAAGUCCCCUAUCCUUACCUCCCCCCGUACCCACAUUUGGGUUCACGGGAACAUAAUCUCUCCAUUGGCUUGAGCCGCCAUAGCUUGAGCCAACACAUGGAAAGUGGCUCAGAACUCUGCAUUAGUCACUUCCUCAGCCAAAGGAUUGACCGGAACUUGAGGAGCUUCUUGUUCGACAUUAUCACCCGCACUCCUUCUAACAUAUGCUGUUUGAGAGGUAAUAUCUUAAAAAGCAUCGCAUGAGGAUUAGGAGAGAGACAUUUAGAGUUACACUCUAUCGCACGACUUUAGAAUGAUCAAAGAAGUGGAAUUUCCUUAACAUCUUAUAGCCUCCUAUUCAUAAGUAUGGUGCGCUUCACACUCAUGAACAAGACUCUACUUGACGUGGCUUGCGAAACAUCCUAAGACCUCUCUAAACAUUCUACUUUGAAUACCAAGUUUGUCAAAACCCAAAGCAUAUCCUAGGUGUAACAUAGCAUAUAAACCUCAAAAGUAGCAAUCUUAUAUCAUAAAAGAGUUUGAGAAAGCGGAAGUCUAACAUAGUCUCAAUAAGACAUCUAAACUUUCAAAGGAGUGGGUGGGACGUAACCUAUAUAACACAUACAUCAUCCGAAAACUUGAAAGACAUAAAUCAACUAAAUGCGUCUCAGUCCUUGGAAUAUCAGGAAUCACAAAUCUUGAAUCCAUUGGAAUAAUUAACUAUCCACAAGCGUGAGAGGUAGGAGCGCCAGACCCUAUAUCAGUGAAACUAUGUAGGUACAAGUAUACAUUAGUACAUAAAAUGUACUUAGUAUGGUGCAAUAUACAUGAAUAUACUGACAUAGAUAGCUUAAACAUGUAAUGCAUGACACGCAUUUGAACAUUUGAAAGCUUUAAAGAAGCAACAACUCAUAUCUCAUAAAAUAUGGUCAACACAUUUAAUUAAGAGAAUAAAAUUUUGAGGAAACAUACUCGUUUUAUAGUGUUUAAGCUUUAACCGACACUACGACCAUGAGAGCUAUGUCAUGGAAUCUAGCAUAUCCCUCAUACCGAAAGAAGGGGAUUCUACUUACCAGGGUAGCAUCGGUACACGUCAUCUUUUGCUAAAGUGGAUCCACUAGCUAGGUCAUUUAAUACAAUCCUAUGGGGGGCACGUAGUUAGAGACUAGAGGUUUCCACUAGAGACUACCCUAUUUGAGUAUCAACCUCAAAUCCUCUCGGUGCUAAGUCUAAAUUCCAAUAGAAUAGCUAAAAGUAAAAUAUCAUUAUAACAUAGAAAGGGUAAUGAUCAAUACCAAUCCACAUCUGUAAAAUCAAAACAUAGAAUAGCUCCUUAAAAUUCAAGUCAAGCAUAAGUGAGAAAACCUUUCACCAAUGUAAAUCCAUAUGUGAAAAAUACCCUUCACAAUAAUGAUCAUAUUUGUAUGUGAGAAAAAUUUCACAACAAUAUCGAUACUUUCUUAUAAAAGGACCCUAUCAUCAUUAACAUCAUUUUCACAAGACAUGCAUCAUUCUUCAAAUUCAUUGUUCAUAGCUUAAUGAGUUUUUCACAAUUCAUAAUUAAAAAUCAUGGAUCAUGCAUGGGUUCAUAUGAUUUCAACUACAGAUCAUGUAAUUACAUUAAAUCAUGAAAUAGAAGAUUAAAAACAACCAUUGAAUCAUAACUGAAUAGAACCCAUGGAGAAUUAAGAAGAACCCUAAUUUGAUUAAUUGAAAUUGAAUUGAGAAAUUAAACACCUUGGGAACCCGAUGGAGGAAUAGACUCUAUGGGUGAAUACCCACAUACCAUGCAGCUCAAAGACCAACAUGAAUGGUGAAUUUAAGACCUUGGAUUAAACCCUAUCUUCUUCUUCUUCCUUAGAUUGUGAGGGAGUUUUGGGAGAACGAAUUUGAUUGGGUUUUGGGAAAAAUAGGAGAAUGGGUUCAAAGUGGGUAGAUUUAGGACUUAAAUUCUUUAUAUUGGGCUUAGGAUAUAGACAAAAAUAGCAUAGCAUAGGCUUAAAACAUUUGAACCUACGACCUGUAGAACUUUCUACGGACCAUAUUGGUCAACCGUAGAAAAGUUAAGAGGCCUUAAUUUGGCCAACCUUUUGCAAAAUCUAUCUACGAACCGUAGGAAUUUCUACAAUCCAUGGACCCCUACAAGACAAAUUAACUUUGACGUUUAAAAUUUCACUAAGUCUAGGAGAUUUCUACAAGAACAAUCUACGACUCAUAAACCAUUUGACAGGCCCUCAUGUUUACUCAUAGAAAAAUUCAGAAACUAGAUUUUUCAAAAAUUAUUUUUUCCCUCACUACUAGACUGGUCUAAGACCCAUAGAAAGUUCUGCGAACCGUAGACUAGUCUCGUAGUCCUAAACUAGGAGACUAAAUUCAUGCAAACUUUAUUUCUUUUCGAAAUCCAAGGUGUUACACCAAUAUGAUUGCAAUUUUCAUUAAAAUGCACAUAAAACAUGGAGAAUCUCUCCAAGCUAAAUCAUUACAUAAAAUUAAGUUUUCAUGAACAACAUGUAUGUGAAACAUGAGAAUGACUAAAAUAAAUGAAUUUGAAAGGAUGAACAAUGAAGAGCUAAUACCCCAAGCUAGAAUAAGAGCGGAAGGAUAAAAAUGAGGAAACUGGACAUCAUAUCGGCUUUGGCCUCCCAAGAAGCACCCUCAACUAAUUGAUUCCUCUAAAGAACCUUAACGGAAGCAUCUUCUGAACAUGCCGCUCUAAAAUCUCAACCAAACCUCUUCAUAAGAAGAUUUCCCUUAACUCCCAAACCUUCCAAAGGAGCAAUAGAUGUCAAAUCUCCAAUACACUUUUUCAACAAAGAGACAUGGAAUGCCGAAUGUACUGAUGCUAAAUCAUUAGGCAACUCACAUUUAUAAGAAACCUUUCCAAUAUGCCUUAAGAUCAGAUAUGGCCCACAAACCUGGGACUAAACUUCCCUUUCUUUUCCAACCUCAUAACACCCUUCAUGGGUUAAUUUUUAAAGUAUACCCAAUCAUCAACAUUAAAUUCAAGUUUUCUUCUUCUAAUAUCGAAAUAAGACUUUUAUCGAUUUUGAGUUAUUUUCAACCUCUCACGAAUAAGUCAAACCUUUUUCAUAGCCUAUGCACAAACAUGAACCCUAUCAAAGAAACCUUACUGACCUCAAACAAAAUGAUAGGAGACCUACACCUCCUACGUUAAAGAGCAUGGAACGGUGCAAUCCCAAUGAUAGAAUGCUAAUUAUUACUAUAAGCAAACACGAUCAAAGGCAAGCGAUCAUCUCAAUUACCUUUGAAAUCAAUCACGCAAGCUCUCAACAUACUUUUCAAAGUAUGAAUUGUACGUUCGACUUGUCCAUGAGGAUGAAAAUCCGUGCUAAGUUUAAACUUGAGUACCAACAUCAUUCUGAAACGACUUCAAAAACUAAGAUGUAAACUGAGUACCUCAACUGAUAAUAAUGGACAAAGGCUGUAACACCCCGUAACUUAGUAGGCCAUCUAGGGCUAAGUCUGAAGGAUUCAAGUCAAGACUAGAGGGCAUGAGCCAAGGCAAAGGGGCAAGGGACAAGGCAAGAGCCAAGGCUUCCCCAUGCUUGCCAUGGCACUGCCCAUGACCACAAGAGCCUUCACGGCUCGUGGUGGCCACCCGUGGUGGUUAGGCAACGAGCCCCUCAAGGUUUCCCAAGUUGGCCUCCUCCACACAAGCGACUUCAUGGCUCGUGAAGGCCUAGACGGCUCGUGGAGGUGGCCGUGAACAUGCCUUCAACUUGUAGAGGCCAAGACCUCAUGCAUGGCCACUGGUCCAUGCCUACGAUGAGGACCAUGACCAGUGGUGAGGACCACGGCUUGUGGUCCCUCUCGUGAGGCUUGGCACCAGGCUGCCGAAUAAGGGUCAUUUUAGGAAAUUCCCUUUCUAGUUAGUAUUAAGUAGGGCCGUUUUAUAUAGAAUUUAUACACCUAUAUAAGCUAUUUUAAUCCUUUAACCACCCCAAUUAAGUCAUUAAUUCCAAAACCCCAAAGUUCAUCCUCUCAAAAGUCCUCUCUCUAGAAAACUCCAAGAAGAAGAAAAAGAAAAAAAAUAGGUCAAAGCUAGGUAAAAUUCCUUCAUUGUUGCAAGCUUUUGUAAGGCUUUAUAAUCAUGGUAUGAUAGCAUAUUAAUCCACGGAUUCUUCAAUUCAUGGAGCCCCAUAGAUUUCCCCCAAUUGUGAAGAUGAAUCCCCAAUUCAAGUUAGGGUUCCUUUCAAUAUUGUGGUUUAAGUUGAGUAUGAAUCCAAAUGACUGGAUAUUACUUGUUUAUGAUUGAUUUAGUAGUGAAUCAUGUUAUUAUGAUUAUAUUAUGUGAUUUUCAUCGCUAACCCUAGUUUAAUUGAUCAAGUAAUGUGGGUUUAUGCCUUGUAAAGAGAAAUUGAGGAUUUAUAGAUGAUUUUCUAGAAUUUAUGAUAUGAGUAGUAAUUGUUCAAGAAUAGUCACAUGUAGACAUGAAUUGAAUUAGAAUAAUGCAUAUGUGAUGGAUCAUGAUUAGCAAAGCUUGAGAUUGAACCUUUAUAAUGAUUUAUGACUAGAAUCACUUAAUAAUGAAGCAUGUGAUAAUAAUGCCUUGAAAUCUAGGUAUGAAUGAUGAUGGUAAGAAGUAAAGCUUUGAGAGUAAGGCCUGUAGUUAUGAGUGUUGAUUGUUAGGGCUUUGAGAGUAAAGCUAUUAUGUUGAAUUAAGAAUGUUUAAAUGCAUAAAGUGAUAGAAGCACAUGAAACAUGGAUUGGUUGUCACAGACGUCCCUCCACUAGUCAUGAAUUAAGUAAGACUUGAUAAGCUAUCUUGUGGGAUUUAUGCCUAGCACCGAGUGGAUAUUGUAAUGAGAUGGAAGCUUUUACCUAGUUGAGUUCGGCUUCCAUGAUGGGAACUCUCACAAGUGGAGUCUGAGUUUCCCAAAGUAUGUCUCAUGAGAUGGAGUCCCUCACAAGUGGGGUCCAUAUUUCCUAGUAGAAAUCUCUAUAUCCCAUAACUACGUGUCCCAUAGGAAAUUUAGCUAAUAGGUCAAACUAAGCUAAAAAACUGGUUCUACCCUAGGCAAGUAGACCAACCCUUCUCGGUGUGGGUAACAUCGGAGGGGAUCAUGUGAUAGCUCAUGUGGUCUCAUGUCGGUUAAGGCUAUAUUCCCAACUAGUACAAGAUUAUUAAAGAACUAAGACAUAUUUGAAGAAGUAUCUCAAAGUGUUCAAUAUUAAUAAUGCACUAAGACAUGCUUAAGGAAGCAUCUCAUGUGUUAAAACAUAAUAAACUUAGACAUUCUUGAGUAAGUAUUUCAUAGUGUUCAAAAGUAAAGAAGAGGGACUAGGAUGUGAUUAAAGAAGUAUCUCCUAGGGUUCCAAUGUCUUAAAAAGUGGGACUAGUCUCCAAUCAAGAAGUAUGAGUAUGAUAACCUAAAGUGAUACUUAGUAUGGAUAGGAUUAUGGGGUCUUAUUCAUGCAUUGCACAAGUAUGACUUAAGGUUACCUAAUAAAGUGUUCUCUUAUAUGAUUUAUGUUUAGAGAGAAUUGUGCUAUAUUUGCCUUCAUUGUUAUGAUUGACUAAAGGUGAGAGAUUCCCUUGUCUAUGAGAGAUAAGCUAACGAUGAGAUCAAAGAUGGCUAGUAUGUAUAAUGGACUAAGGUGGUACUUAGUUUGGAUGAGAUUAUGGGGUCUUAUCCAUGCAUUGCACAAGUAUGACUUGAAGCUACUUAUGAAGUUUUCUUCUUAUGAUAUGAAAUACUAAGGGUUGACUAAUGUUUAUAUGAUGCUUAUGUUGGAGAUUAUGCUUAUGAUUAUGUUAUUGUCUCUUAUGCUUAUAGUUUAUGUUUCAUGAAGUAUCACUUGUGAUUAUGGCAUAUGACUUAUGUUGACUAACCCUUAUGAUGUUAUGCUAUCAUGAUAUUAUUCUAGCUAUCAUAUUUAGUACUUUUGUACUAAGACAUACUCUUGUCUACAUUCUCAUCAAAUGUAGGGUCCGGUGAUUUUGAGUUCCAUUCUUAAGGCUAGGUUUCUAGAAGUGCAAGGAGUUGAAGACUUGGUGAGUCCUCAUAGCAUCGAGAAUAUAGCUACCAUUUCCUUUAAUGUCUUUAUUUUAUGAGUUAGACUUUUGUAUGGGCUGCGUCCCAAAGAUAUUCAUGUCCUAGAUGGUUUGAGACAAGUGUAAUUAUACUUCCGCUUUGCUUUUAUAAAGACUUUGAUUUUAUAAAAUUUGUUUUAAAA